This 514-nucleotide ribosomal RNA is filed under the name uncultured bacterium. Its description in RNAcentral is "bacterial LSU rRNA". It matches the Rfam family "Bacterial large subunit ribosomal RNA", at positions 806 to 1316 of the family's 2925-position model. The record is from RNAcentral.
GAGCUGUGGAUAGGGGUGAAAGGCUAAACAAAUCCGGAAAUAGCUGGUUCUCCCCGAAAACUAUUUAGGUAGUGCGUCGUACGGACACUUGCGGGGGUAGAGCACUGUAAUCGUUGGGGGGUCGAUUGCGAUCUACCCCGCCGAUAGCAAACUACCGAUACCGCAAAGUAGAUAUACGGCAGACAGACAUCGGGUGCUAACGUCCGGUGUCAAGAGGGAAACAACCCAGACCGCCAGCUAAGGUCCCAAAUGCAUGGCUAAGUGGCAAAACGAAGGUGGGAAGGCAUAGACAGCUAGGAGGUUGGCUUAGAAGCAGCCAUCCUUUAAAGAAAGCGUAUAGCUCACUAGUCGAGUCGUCCUGCGCGGAAGAUGUAACGGGGCUCAAGCCAUGAACCGAAGCUGCGGAUGUGUCUUUGACACGUGGUAGGGGAGGCGUUCCGUAAGCCUGCGAAGGUGUCUCGUAAGGGAUGCUGGAGGUAUCGGAAGUGCGAAUGCUGACAUGAGUAGCGAUAAA